GUUUUCCUAUCCAUCCCAGCUUUCUGUUCAUUUUGGUCGUCGGAAGAGGCGGUUCUGAUCAGCUACCCCAUGCCUGAGUUGACUCAGCCGGAGGUCUACUCGCCCAGGACUCUGCAGGUGUGGAAGACGCUGUUGAACUGGUUGGCUUUCUUCUUCCAGAUCUUCGUUCAGAUCCUCAGAGCUUUUGGACACCUUCGCCUUCUUUCUUCUGAUUCUUCUUCUGAUUCUUCGUCUCCGUCUUUUAAGCCUUUGCCGGUCGUUGAACUUCCUGACCAUGAGUUGCUCGCCGCUUCCGCCGUUGAUAUCGCUUCUGUUGAAGAUGAGGAGGAGUCCGAUGGGCUUAUGGAGAAACUGACGAUAGUUCUCG
RNAcentral lists this unclassified non-coding RNA (367 nucleotides) under Hevea brasiliensis (rubber tree). Lineage: Eukaryota; Viridiplantae; Streptophyta; Magnoliopsida; Malpighiales; Euphorbiaceae. The record is from RNAcentral.